CUCAAUGAUUUUCAAUAGCCGCAAUACUUUGUGCUAAGGUAGCAUAAUCAUUUGUUUUUUAAUUAAAAACUAGAACGAAAGAUUUAACAUUUUAAUUUCUUUCUAAUAUAUUUAUAUCUAAUUUAUUUUAAAUAUAAAAAAAUAUUUAUUACUUAAAAAGACGAUAAGACCCUAUUGAACUUUACUAAAGUUAAACUGGGGCAGUUAAUUAAAUAUAAUUUUAAUUUAAAUUAAAAAUAACCUAAUACAAUUAAAAAUAUUAAGUUACCAUAGGGAUAACAGCGUAAUUAUUUUCUAAAGUUCUUAUUAAAAAAAUGUUUUACGACCUCGAUGUUGAAUUAAUAAUCUAUAAAAUGCAAUAAUUUUUAAGAAAGUC
This 376-nucleotide ribosomal RNA is filed under the name Draconarius falcatus. RNAcentral's name for it is "partial 16S ribosomal RNA". The record is from RNAcentral. Lineage: Eukaryota; Metazoa; Arthropoda; Arachnida; Araneae; Agelenidae.